This 21-nucleotide non-coding RNA is filed under the name Rattus norvegicus (Norway rat). Lineage: Eukaryota; Metazoa; Chordata; Mammalia; Rodentia; Muridae. The record is from RNAcentral.
UUAUUUCUCCCAGAUGAACAG